This 492-nucleotide ribosomal RNA is filed under the name uncultured bacterium. Its description in RNAcentral is "partial 16S ribosomal RNA". It matches the Rfam family "Bacterial small subunit ribosomal RNA", at positions 29 to 507 of the family's 1533-position model. The record is from RNAcentral.
AGUGAACGCUGGCGGUAGGCCUAACACAUGCAAGUCGAACGGCAGCACAGUAAGAGCUUGCUCUUACGGGUGGCGAGUGGCGGACGGGUGAGGAAUACAUCGGAAUCUACUUUUUCGUGGGGGAUAACGUAGGGAAACUUACGCUAAUACCGCAUACGACCUACGGGUGAAAGCAGGGGAUCUUCGCACCUUGCGCGAUUGAAUGAGCCGAUGUCGGAUUAGCUAGUUGGCGGGGUAAAGGCCCACCAAGGCGACGAUCCGUAGCUGGUCUGAGAGGAUGAUCAGCCACACUGGAACUGAGACACGGUCCAGACUCCUACGGGAGGCAGCAGUGGGGAAUAUUGGACAAUGGGCGCAAGCCUGAUCCAGCCAUACCGCGUGGGUGAAGAAGGCCUUCGGGUUGUAAAGCCCUUUUGUUGGGAAAGAAAAGCAGCAGGUUAAUACCCCGCUGUUCUGACGGUACCCAAAGAAUAGGCACCGGCUAACUUCGUG